CGGUAGCAGGAAGUGCUUGCACUUUGCUGACGAGUGGCGGACGGGUGAGUAAUACUUAGGAACAUGCCUUUGUGUGGGGGAUAACCAUUGGAAACGAUGGCUAAUACCGCAUAAUGUCUUUGGACCAAAGAGGGCUUUCGGGCUCUCGCGCAAAGAGUGGCCUAAGUGAGAUUAGCUUGUUGGUGAGGUAAAGGCUCACCAAGGCGACGAUCUCUAGCUGUUCUGAGAGGAAGAUCAGCCACACUGGGACUGAGACACGGCCCAGACUCCUACGGGAGGCAGCAGUGGGGAAUAUUGCACAAUGGGGGCAACCCUGAUCCAGCGAUGCCGCGUGAGUGAUGAAGGCCUUAGGGUUGUAAAACUCUUUCAGGGGUGAAGAUAAUGACGGUAACCCCAGAAGAAGCUCCGGCUAACUCCGUGCCAGCAGCCGCGGUAAUACGGAGGGAGCUAGCGUUGUUCGGAAUUACUGGGCGUAAAGCGCGCGUAGGCGGCUUGGCAAGUAGAGGGUGAAAUCCCAGGGCUUAACCCUGGAACUGCCUCCUAAACUGCUGAGCUAGAAUCCUGGAGAGGUGAGUGGAAUUCCUAGUGUAGAGGUGAAAUUCGUAGAUAUUAGGAAGA
Molecule: ribosomal RNA, 618 nt
Filed under: uncultured bacterium
Lineage: Bacteria
Description: bacterial SSU rRNA
Rfam family: Bacterial small subunit ribosomal RNA
Source: RNAcentral